AUGGGUGAAGAUCUUUUAUUUGAUUACUACACAAAAACAGGUAUAUUAAUUUUAUUAUUACUAAUUUUAAAUAUAUUAAAUAUAUUUUUACAAACAAUAUCAUUUUAUUUUUUAUUAAAAAAAGCAGAUUUGACCAAUAUAAUACCAAUUGAAUCUAAUAAAACUAUAACAAAACCAAUAAUGAAUGAAAACUAUGACAUUAACCAUAUGAUUAAUUUCACAAACCUAUGUUACUACAUAGCUUUAAGAAUACCUAUGCAACUUAUUUUAAAUGUAUUAUUGGUACUACCAUCUAUAAUAAUUAAAAAAAGUAAAUAUUUACAUUUAUUUAAUAUAUGUAGUAUUUUAAAUUGUUUAGUAAACAUUAUUUUUGGUAAUAUAGACAUUUAUUACUCCUUGAAUCCAAAAAUAUUUUACAGAAGUAACGUAGAUAAGGUAUUAUUUUAUUACAACAUGUUAGACAUAUUUUACAUUGGAAAAAUAUGUACAAGUAUAUUUAUAAUCCCAUUUAUUACUAACUUUAGUGAUAUGAAAACGUUUAUAUUAGUAUGUUUAAGUUUUAUGAGUUAUACAAUAGUAGGAUAUGAUCAAAUCCAUGUCACUUCGUCUAAAGUUCAUUUUAUUCUGAAUACAUUAAUUAUUUGCAUUGUCAUUAUUUCUAUAUUAACCUUCAAAUACUCAAAGUUGUUGAUACAAUUAAGAAAACUUUUAUUUAUCAAAUACGUUUUACCUUACUAUACGUAUUUAACAUUAAUUAAAGAAAGUCCCGUCAUAAAAAUGGAAAUUAACAAAAACCGUAGUCUAUCACAUACAAACAGCGAUGAUAGCUAGAUUUAAAAUUUUAUAUGUUACAUUUGUAACCACACUAAAUGAAUUAACAAGCUCACAUAAGAAAAUAUAUUUGUUUUUACGAUUUUUUUUUAAUGUACAUAUUUGACACGAUUUGUUAACAUAUACAUGUGAUGAUGCAUUUUGGCAUUUGCUAUUUGUUAUUUGUUCUUAUUUGCUGUUUGUUCUUA
RNAcentral lists this long non-coding RNA (1019 nucleotides) under Piliocolobus tephrosceles (Ugandan red Colobus). RNAcentral's name for it is "lncRNA (ENSPTEG00000024656.1)". The record is from RNAcentral. Lineage: Eukaryota; Metazoa; Chordata; Mammalia; Primates; Cercopithecidae.